This 81-nucleotide transfer RNA is filed under the name Streptomyces olivaceoviridis. RNAcentral describes it as "tRNA-Gly". Lineage: Bacteria; Bacillati; Actinomycetota; Actinomycetes; Kitasatosporales; Streptomycetaceae. The record is from RNAcentral.
GGCGAGCUUGGCGUGUGCGGCCUGGAUGUCGGCCUUGCCCGGGUCGUGGAAGGGCUCCGGUUCGGGGCCGGGGUCCUCCUC